Molecule: small nucleolar RNA, 139 nt
Organism: Engraulis encrasicolus (European anchovy)
Lineage: Eukaryota; Metazoa; Chordata; Actinopteri; Clupeiformes; Engraulidae
Product: small nucleolar RNA SNORA29
Exons: 1
Source: RefSeq, a predicted model, not a curated record
CUUCCUGUUUUAGUACCGUGCAUCUGCUCCCCCUCCAGAUGUGUGGCUAUGCUAACAGGAAAGAGCAACUCUGUCACGAUCUGAAGGGGUGUGCAGCCCUCCCCUGCCACCUCUAUAUGUACUGACUGUACAGAAACCA